AAAUCAUAAAAUUUGUUUUGAAAACAAAUGUUGAGUAAUGCUCGUGAUUUUUU
RNAcentral lists this transfer RNA (53 nucleotides) under Marshallagia marshalli. RNAcentral's name for it is "tRNA-Ser". The record is from RNAcentral. Lineage: Eukaryota; Metazoa; Nematoda; Chromadorea; Rhabditida; Trichostrongylidae.